RNAcentral lists this unclassified non-coding RNA (2014 nucleotides) under Hevea brasiliensis (rubber tree). The record is from RNAcentral. Lineage: Eukaryota; Viridiplantae; Streptophyta; Magnoliopsida; Malpighiales; Euphorbiaceae.
UGCAAACUUCUCUGGGGGGAACUGCAUGAGAAGUGCAUCAAUUAGUAGCAUGCAUUUAAUGACAGCACCUUUAUAAUUAAAUAAAAAAAAAAAGAUCCUCCCCCUUUUUGGGUGUACCCUCCGAGGAUUCCAUGAAAGGUUAUAAGCUUACAGGGUUAGAUGAUAUUUUCUCAAGUUAUCAUUCCAUCAACACCAUGAGGAAUCAUAAGAAAUGCCAGAGGUCACUUCAAAACCAUGCUGAGGCAUGCCAGAAGUUCAGUAGACCAAUCAAAGAGGAAAUGAAAAAAAACAGGUGCUCUUACGUUGCCAUUUUUACCAGAUAUAAAAAGUCAUUGUCAAUUGUUCAUAUUUAUCCAUUAAACAUGUGGAGUGACACUUACAGGAAGGUUUCUUCAGGUUUAGGUGAGUUGACAAUCAUGUUCAUAGAUAAAUGGUAAUUCUUGUGCGACUAGCAUAUCCAACAAACACAUCUUUGAAAUUCAUUCCAUUUAAGAAGAAAUUAACAUAUUACCUCGUGUCUUGUCUUCAACUUUCCUGCAACAUUCAUCACAGUUGCAAUGUUUGACAAGCUAAAGGGAUGUUGGCCUUCAUGUAGUCUCAAUGAGAACAUCGUGGCUGUCAAACCACUCCCAUAUGAGAAUAGUAUCACCCGCUUACCUGCCAAUUCAGUGUGUUUAUUGUGAAGUAGGGAUGCGAAUGCUGCAUACAAAGAUGCAGUGUACAUAUUGCCAACUUGCUUUGGUAUCAAAGUGGUUGGUUGCACCUUUGCAUCAUAAAGGGGCUUGGCAACUUGUUGGGAUACCUUUUCAAGAUCCCGGUUUUGGUAGCUUUCAUCACCAGAUAAAGUUGAAAAUGGUGCCAGCUUUUCUUUAGCAGCGUCAUCAAUAGAGCUGGCAUUCCUCACAAAGUCAUUGAACACCAAACGAGCAAAGCUUUUCUGUACAAGCUUGUUGUAAGGAGAGUGAAAUACAAAAUAUUCAGCAUCAGAAAUAGAGAAUUGUUUGCCCUCCAAUUUCUCAUACUUGGCACAGAAAUGUUUGUAGCAGGAAUCAAGAGCCAUGAGGUAGCAUGUUUGAGAAAGUUUGCCGUCCACAACUGGAUAUUCGCUAGCCAGGUUGGGCUUGUAAAAAUCGUAAGCAUGAGACAUAUGGCUCCCCCUAAAUUUGCUUUCAAAAGCAAUAGGUGCCUCUGGACCUAUUAGCAUGGCAAUGGCUGCAGCUCCUCCAGUUGGUCGGGCUGGACCCUCUGCAUAGACCGCACUGUCAGUACACACUACAAGUCCAUAGCGUCCAUCCCAUGAAUUACUCUCUACCCAGUUGACACAGUUGAAUAAAGCUGCAGUCCCCCCAUAACAUGCAUUGGCAGAGUCAACGCCUUCAAUGUCAGUGUUUCCGAAUUUCUCGAAAAUUUGCAUCAAGAAGGUUUUAAUAGAUUUGCUCUUGUCGAUCACAGUCUCACUGCCAACUUCCAGACGACCGAUUUGGUUAGGAUCAAUAUUAUACUUCUCGAGGAGUGAAGUAACAGCAGUCAAACUCAUAGAGAUGACAUCUUCCACCUCAGUACAAAAUGCCAUGCAAUCCUGUCCAAGACCAAUGGUAUACUUCCCUUUGCUUGCACCAUCAUGAGCCUCCAAUGCUUCCUGCUGAACAUAGGUAGGAGGGAAAUAGAUGUCCAUAGCGAGAAUUCCCACAUUCUUUGCCAUUUUUUUUCGCCUGUCGAAUUCCUCCUCGAAACAACAGCAGCAAAACUAAAAGAAAUCAAAUAGAAAAAACAGAAGCAGCAAUUCUCUUUGUACAGAGAUUUAGAAGUUUCAGGGAAAGAAGGAAAUAGAUGGAGAAGAGAAACAGUGUAUUAACGGAGGGCUCCUUGACCUUGAGAGCAGCGAAGAGAGAAAGGGGAUUAUGGAGGCUCACAUGAAGAUUGUUGCGCUUAUAUAGGAAAAAAAAAAAAUUCUCCUCCGCUGCUCUGCUCUCUUCGAGUCUCGCCUGUCAAAAGCAGGCAUUGGGAGCUUGUG